Molecule: RNA transcript, 776 nt
Organism: Nycticebus coucang (slow loris)
Lineage: Eukaryota; Metazoa; Chordata; Mammalia; Primates; Lorisidae
Gene name: translation initiation factor IF-2-like
Exons: 4
Source: RefSeq, a predicted model, not a curated record
AUGGAGCCGCCGUCCGCUAGCCUACCAGCUGAACCCGCCUGCCGCACAGUCGAGGCCCGGCCCGUGGGGAGGAGCAGAGCGCAAGCCGUGGAGGUGAGGGCGCUUGCCAAAGGUCACCCGGGCGGGGCCUGGGCCCUUCAGGACCGCAGGGCACAGGGGAGCGAGUGGCGACUGCGCGUUCUCGGGACAGAUGAGGACCCCACUCCUUUCAAUAUCCGGGAAGUCAACUCUCAUGCCCCCUUCCUCACCCCCCCUUUCGAAUUGCAUCAGGCACGUGCUCGCCCCCGCCGUGUGCGCGCGCGCUCCCGCCGCCUUUUGCCCGCCCGUCGCCAAGGGCUGGCCCGGCGGGCGCGCCCCCGCUGUGCUAUCCCCUCCCCUCGCCCGCCGCGUCGCGAGGCGCGCGCCCGCCCGCCGCCUGCCGCGGAUCGCGUGGUCGGCUUGGCUCGCCGCGCCUAUCCCCGUGCGUCCAUAUUGCUGCAGCCCCCGAGCCGGGAAGCCCGGGCCGCCCCGGGGGCGGGGGGGAGGGAGGGACCGGACGAGAAGCCUGCCGGGCUCGGGGUGGGGGCGCCUUACGAAGAACGGGCGGGGGGGGACGCACGCCGAGGAGGCCUGGACCGCAGAGUGGGGGGCCUUCUUCCCCCCCCGCCCCGCCAGCGGGCCUCGGAUCUACGGCGGCUGCAUCCGACCGGAGGGGUGCCGUGCCUAGCGUGAACCCCGAUCCUUCUUUGGGACUGGGGCCCAGCGCCCUAGAGGAAGGCGUCGCGGGCGCUCUGUGA